AACGAACGCUGGCGGCAGGCCUAACACAUGCAAGUCGAACGCCCUAGCAAUAGGGAGUGGCGCACGGGUGAGUAACGCGUGGGAACGUGCCUUUCAGUCUGGAAUAACUGCGGGAAACUGCAGCUAAUACCGGAUAUUCUCUACGGAGGAAAGAUUUAUUGCUGAAAGAUCGGCCCGCGUUAGAUUAGGUAGUUGGUGGGGUAAUGGCCUACCAAGCCUACGAUCUAUAGCUGGUCUGAGAGGAUGAUCAGCCACACUGGAACUGAGACACGGUCCAGACUCCUACGGGAGGCAGCAGUGGGGAAUAUUGGACAAUGGGCGCAAGCCUGAUCCAGCCAUGCCGCGUGAGUGACGAAGGCCUUAGGGUUGUAAAGCUCUUUUGUCAGGGAAGAUAAUGACGGUACCUGAAGAAUAAGACACGGCUAACUUCGUGCCAGCCGCCGCGGUAA
RNAcentral lists this ribosomal RNA (449 nucleotides) under uncultured bacterium. RNAcentral's name for it is "partial 16S ribosomal RNA". It matches the Rfam family "Bacterial small subunit ribosomal RNA", at positions 29 to 523 of the family's 1533-position model. The record is from RNAcentral.